This 460-nucleotide ribosomal RNA is filed under the name uncultured bacterium. Its description in RNAcentral is "partial 16S ribosomal RNA". It matches the Rfam family "Bacterial small subunit ribosomal RNA", at positions 338 to 795 of the family's 1533-position model. The record is from RNAcentral.
CCUACGGGUGGCAGCAGUGAGGAAUAUUGGUCAAUGGGCGCUAGCCUGAACCAGCCAAGUAGCGUGAAGGAUGAAUGCCCUAUGGGGUGUAAACUUCUUUUAUAUGGAAAUAAAGUGCAGUAUGUAUACUGCUUUGCAUGUACCUUAUGAAUAAGGAUCGGAUAACUCCGUGCCAGCAGCCGCGGUAAUACGGAGGAUCCGAGCGUUAUCCGGAUUUAUUGGGUUUAAAGGGAGCGUAGGUGGGUUUUUAAGUCAGUGUGUAACGUUUGCGGCUUAACCGUAAAAUUGCAGUUGAUACUGGCAUCCUUGAGUACAGUAGAGGUAGGCGGAAGUCGUGGUGUAGCGGUGAAAUGCUUAGAUAUCACGAAGAACUCCGAUUGCGAAGGCAGCCUGCUGGACUGUAACUGACGCUGAUGCUCGAAAGUGUGGGUAUCAAACAGGAUUAGAUACCCCGGUAGUC